UACGGAGGAUCCGAGCGUUAUCCGGAUUUAUUGGGUUUAAAGGGUGCGUAGGCGGUUUGAUAAGUUAGAGGUGAAAUGUCGGGGCUCAACCCCGAAACUGCCUCUAAUACUGUUGGACUAGAGAAUAGUUGCGGUAGGCGGAAUGUAUGGUGUAGCGGUGAAAUGCUUAGAGAUCAUACAGAAUACCGAUUGCGAAGGCAGCUUACCAAACUAUAUCUGACGUUGAGGCACGAAAGCGUGGGUAGCAAACAGG
This 253-nucleotide ribosomal RNA is filed under the name uncultured bacterium. Its description in RNAcentral is "partial 16S ribosomal RNA". It matches the Rfam family "Bacterial small subunit ribosomal RNA", at positions 524 to 776 of the family's 1533-position model. The record is from RNAcentral.